UGCAACACUUGGGUAGUGUUGGUUGCGAAAAGGGCGGGCAGAAAUAGUUUACGUUAUAUUCGUGUGCGUGUGUUACGAAUGUUUGCAAACAUUAUACAAACAUGUUGUUAAGAACAAAAAGAUAACGUUGCAAUGUUUUAAUUAGCUGCUGUAACAGAAGUCUGCGCAUGUAGUUAUGAAUUUGUCAACACUGUGUUCCUUGUAGUCGAAAGUAGAACACUCAAAACUUGUUGCAGAACUUCUGUCAGAACAGAUUAAGUACGUGGGGGUGUGGCAACGGUGCAUUGCCUGAAGACUGCUGAAGAUCGUUCAAGAUGAGACUCCAGUGGGAGUGGUGGUGUAUUUCGUGCCUGUGUUUGUUGGUGGCGUUUCUGUCAUUCGGACUUUGUCGACAGCCGCCGGUGUACAUGAAUCAAUUUGCUGUGUAUAUACCAAGUGGCCAGGAUGCGGCAGAUGGCGUUGCAAGAAAGUACGGAUUCAGGAACCUCGGACAGAUCGGCAGCCUCCAGGGCUAUUACUUGUUCGAGCACCAGCGUGUCCACAAGAGAUCUUUGUCUGCCAGCAACGAACACCAUUCCGCUCUCAGCUCCGAACCACAGGUCAGUGUUCGGUGACGUACA
Molecule: long non-coding RNA, 620 nt
Organism: Cryptotermes secundus
Lineage: Eukaryota; Metazoa; Arthropoda; Insecta; Blattodea; Kalotermitidae
Exons: 3
Source: RefSeq, a predicted model, not a curated record